GAUGAACGCUGGCGGUAUGCUUAACACAUGCAAGUCGAACGGACUCUUCGGAGUUAGUGGCGGACGGGGGAGUAACGCGUGAGAAUCUGGCUUUGGGUUCGGGACAACCACUGGAAACGGUGGCUAAUACCGGAUGUGCCGAGAGGUAAAAGAGAAAUUGCCUGAAGAUGAGCUCGCGUCUGAUUAGCUAGUUGGUGAGGUAAAGGCUCACCAAGGCAGCGAUCAGUAGCUGGUCUGAGAGGAUGACCAGCCACACUGGGACUGAGACACGGCCCAGACUAAUACGGGAGGCAGCAGUGGGGAAUUUUCCGCAAUGGGCGAAAGCCUGACGGAGCAAUACCGAGUGAGGGAAGAAGGCUCUUGGGUUGUAAACCUCUUUUCUUAGGGAAGAACAAAAUGACGGUACCUAAGGAAUCAGCAUCGGCUAACUCCGUG
RNAcentral lists this ribosomal RNA (435 nucleotides) under uncultured bacterium. RNAcentral's name for it is "partial 16S ribosomal RNA". It matches the Rfam family "Bacterial small subunit ribosomal RNA", at positions 28 to 507 of the family's 1533-position model. The record is from RNAcentral.